GGACUACCGGGGUAUCUAAUCCUGUUUGCUCCCCACGCUUUCGUUGUUGAGUGUCAGUGCUCGUCCAGGUCGCCGCCUUCGCCGCUGGUGUUCCUCCCGAUCUCUACGCAUUUCACCGCUACACCGGGAAUUCCACGACCCUCUCCGAGACUCUAGUCUUACCGUUUCUGGGGCACUUCUUGAGUUAAGCCCAAGGCUUUCACCCCAGACAAAUAAGACCACCUACCAACCCUUUACGCCCAAUAAUUCCGAGCAACGCUUGCACCCCUCGUAUUACCGCGGCUGCUGGCAC
RNAcentral lists this ribosomal RNA (292 nucleotides) under uncultured bacterium. Its description in RNAcentral is "partial 16S ribosomal RNA". The record is from RNAcentral.